This 497-nucleotide ribosomal RNA is filed under the name uncultured bacterium. Its description in RNAcentral is "partial 16S ribosomal RNA". It matches the Rfam family "Bacterial small subunit ribosomal RNA", at positions 28 to 507 of the family's 1533-position model. The record is from RNAcentral.
GAUGAACGCUGGCGGCGUGCCUAAUACAUGCAAGUCGAGCGAACAGACGAGGAGCUUGCUCCUCUGACGUUAGCGGCGGACGGGUGAGUAACACGUGGAUAACCUACCUAUAAGACUGGGAUAACUUCGGGAAACCGGAGCUAAUACCGGAUAAUAUAUUGAACCGCAUGGUUCAAUUGUGAAAGACGGUUUUGCUGUCACUUAUAGAUGGAUCCGCGCCGCAUUAGCUAGUUGGUAAGGUAACGGCUUACCAAGGCAACGAUGCGUAGCCGACCUGAGAGGGUGAUCGGCCACACUGGAACUGAGACACGGUCCAGACUCCUACGGGAGGCAGCAGUAGGGAAUCUUCCGCAAUGGGCGAAAGCCUGACGGGGCAACGCCGCGUGAGUGAUGAAGGUCUUCGGAUCGUAAAACUCUGUUAUUAGGGAAGAACAAAUGUGUAAGUAACUAUGCACGUCUUGACGGUACCUAAUCAGAAAGCCACGGCUAACUACGUG